AUAAUGACUCUCGGCAACGGAUAUCUCGGCUCUCGCAUCGAUGAAGAACGUAGCGAAAUGCGAUACUUGGUGUGAAUUGCAGAAUCCCGUGAACCAUCGAGUCUUUGAACGCAAGUUGCGCCCGAAGCCAUCAGGUUGAGGGCACGUCUGCUUGGGCGUCACGC
Molecule: ribosomal RNA, 164 nt
Filed under: Streptocarpus mannii
Lineage: Eukaryota; Viridiplantae; Streptophyta; Magnoliopsida; Lamiales; Gesneriaceae
Description: 5.8S ribosomal RNA
Rfam family: 5.8S ribosomal RNA
About the family: 5.8S ribosomal RNA (5.8S rRNA) is a component of the large subunit of the eukaryotic ribosome. It is transcribed by RNA polymerase I as part of the 45S precursor that also contains 18S and 28S rRNA. Functionally, it is thought that 5.8S rRNA may be involved in ribosome translocation.
Source: RNAcentral